CUUGGCGGCGUGCUUAUACUGCAGUCGAACGGAGAGUUUUGUAGCAAUACGGAGCUUCUCAGUGGCGAACGGGCGAGUAACGAGUUGGUGACCUGCCCCGAAGUGUGGGAUAACAGUCCGAAAGGAUUGCUAAUACCGCAUGUGAUCAUUGGUUUUAGAAUCUGAUGAUUAAAGCAGUAAUGCGCUUCGGGAGGGACCUGCUUCCCAUCAGCUAGUUGGUGAGGUAACGGCCCACCAAGGCUACGACGGGUAAGGGACCUGAGAGGGUGGUCCCUCGCAAUGGCACUGAAACACGGGCCAUACACCUACGGGUGGCAGCAGUAGGGAAUAUUGGGCAAUGGGCGAAAGCCUGACCCAGCAACGCCGCGUGCACGAUGAAGGCCUUCGGGUCGUAAAGUGCUUUUCUGAGGAAUGAGUAAGGACAGUACCUCAGGAAUAAGCCUCGGCUAACUACGUGCCAGCAGCCGCGGUAAAACGUAGGAGGCGAGCGUUAUCCGGAUUUACUGGGCGUAAAGCGUGUGUAGGCGGUUCGGCAAGUUGGAUGUGAAAGCUCCUGGCUUAACUAGGAGAGGUCGUUCAAUACUACCGAACUUGAGGGCAUCAGAGGAAGGUGGAAUUCCCGGUGUAGUGGUGAAAUGCGUAGAUAUCGGGAGGAACACCGAUGGCGAAAGCGAUCUCCUGGGCCGUUCUUGACGCUGAGGCGCGAAAGCGUGGGGAGCGAACUGAAUUAGAUACUCAGGUAGUCCACGCCCUAAACGAUGGACACUAGGUGUGGGGGGGUAUCGACCCCUC
This 792-nucleotide ribosomal RNA is filed under the name uncultured bacterium. RNAcentral describes it as "bacterial SSU rRNA". It matches the Rfam family "Bacterial small subunit ribosomal RNA", at positions 36 to 841 of the family's 1533-position model. The record is from RNAcentral.